RNAcentral lists this ribosomal RNA (253 nucleotides) under uncultured bacterium. RNAcentral's name for it is "partial 16S ribosomal RNA". It matches the Rfam family "Bacterial small subunit ribosomal RNA", at positions 524 to 776 of the family's 1533-position model. The record is from RNAcentral.
UACGUAGGGUGCGAGCGUUAAUCGGAAUUACUGGGCGUAAAGCGUGCGCAGGCGGCUUGCCAAGUCAGAUGUGAAAUCCCCGGGCUCAACCUGGGAACUGCAUUUGUGACUGCAUGGCUAGAGUACGGUAGAGGGGGAUGGAAUUCCGCGUGUAGCAGUGAAAUGCGUAGAUAUGCGGAGGAACACCGAUGGCGAAGGCAAUCCCCUGGACCUGUACUGACGCUCAUGCACGAAAGCGUGGGGAGCAAACAGG